Non-coding RNA from Pelobates cultripes (western spadefoot toad), 359 nucleotides. The record is from the annotation of a GenBank genome assembly. Lineage: Eukaryota; Metazoa; Chordata; Amphibia; Anura; Pelobatidae.
GUCACGCAUCUUCCAAUCAAGCUCCAGUGAGGGAAUUAAGGACGGCACAUUGUCCUUGUAAUGGGGAUCCAGCAGGGUGGCCACCCAGUAAUCAGCACAAGUUAGAAUGUGGACAACUUGGCAGUCGUUGCGCAGGCACUGCAGCAUGUAGUCGCUAAUGUGUGGGCAGUCGUUGCGCAGGCACUUUGGUGACUCUAGAUAAUCCAGUGUCGGUGACGACGCAUUCGGAUGUCUGCCCUUUCAACUUUCGAUUGCACUUUCUGCGCCUACCAGGUGACCACGGGUAACGGGGAAUCAAGGUUCGAUUCCGGAGAGGGAGUCUGAGAAACGGCUACCACAUCCAGGGAAGGCAGCAGGCG